Long non-coding RNA from Scophthalmus maximus (turbot), 3465 nucleotides. RefSeq lists it as uncharacterized. Lineage: Eukaryota; Metazoa; Chordata; Actinopteri; Pleuronectiformes; Scophthalmidae. The transcript is spliced from 2 exons. The record is from RefSeq and is a predicted model, not a curated record.
CCACGUGGUGGAGUUCAUGAUUGACAGGUGAGGAGACCAAUUGAAACGACAGAACUGCACCAGGUGACCUCAGGUGGGUGGUGCAGCUCAGGUUCACGGGGCGUUCACGUUAAGACGCACAGUCGGAAAUACCAGCUCUCUAUUUUCGGUAAAACUAAGAAAACUUGUUGACAAACUUUUAGGCUUUUGACCGUCUAAAAAAACACCAUAUACUUAUUUCUCCAAAUCAAUUUGCAGUUCAACCAAAGAAUUCAAAUUAUUUUUAUCCCUGUAUUUGAAUAUUUUGGUUGCGAGACUGAAGAUGUAAAAUUAUACAGUAAUAAUUACAACAACAAUAAUAAGUAUUAUGAUGAUGAUGAUGCACAUUAAUGUGUGAUAAGUUUACACUAUGUUCGCCCAAAGAGGUGUUUUUUCCUCUAGGGGGCAGAAAGACCCCAAAACAAAGUGGCAGCAUCCGACUUUGAGGGAAACUGUGUUUCACUGGUGACCUGCAGAAAAAAUAGAGAUUUCCCACAGUUUUAUAUGCUCCAGCUUUGGCAUCAAAGAAACAUUGAUGACUUCCAUGGAGCUGAUCAACUUGUGAGUCAGCUAAUAAAUCAAUGUUAUGUAUCAUUUUUUUUAUUAGGUGAUGAGAUGAGAAUUCAAACAUUAACGUCAAAUGUUUCACCACUGCUGAUUGUGUAGCUGGGUGUGGUCAGAAGAACAGUGUUUUGUUAAACCUGUAACCCAAACCAACAGGAAUGUCAUGAUGUCCUGGGGUACACCUGUACUGACAUGUACAUCACUGCAGCAAGUUUUUGUAAAGGGCAGCAGCAGUAGUUAACACUGUCACCUCACAACAAGAAGGAUGUUCUGGGUUUAAACCUGAAGGCCAGACGAGGCUUUCCAUGAGGAGUUCUCCCCGUGUCUGUGUGGGAUUCCUAAGGCACUCCGGCUUCCUCCCAUAGUCCAACGACAUGCAUCUUAAGUUCAAUGGAAACUGCCCGCAGGUGCAAAUGUGAGCGUGAAUGGUUAUCAAUCUUUGCAUGUUGACUCUGUGAUAUGUUGUCGACCUGUUCAGAGUGAACUCCACCUCACGCAAUGUCAGCUGGGAUUGGCUUCAUAAGUGGUGUAGAUAAUGGAUGGAUGGAUGGAUUUGUUUUCAUAUAUUAAACUCUGCAAAUUUACCUUUUGGCUAAAUCUGACCUCUUUACAUUAUGUUACUUGACAUCUUUUCCCUAAUAAACAAAUGAAUAACCAGAAUUUAAAUAUCGGAAACAUCUCUUAAGAGGAAGUGCAGGAUCAUUGGUCCCAGGCACUUUACUUGAUGUUAUAGAGACCAAGCGUCACAGAAAUAUAUGACAAUAAGUCACAGUUUCUGCCAAUUAUGAGCUUUAACAUUUGGACCUUUUCUCAAAUUUGACCCAGAGAAGUGAGUCACUUCGAUCCAUGUGCAUCUGAGACUCUCGAGUGAACAUUUGAACAUUGAAUUUUGGAAUACAAAUACGCUCUCUUUACUCAGAUCACAAUUUCAUAGUUUUAAUUGAGCUAUAGAAAAACUGUGUUUAUACACAACAGACAUAUCAGUGGCUUCAUCUGCUCAAAGAGGUGAAAAGAACCUCGCACAACAGCGAACGCAACCACCCUAGAUGGAGAAGUAGGACGUGUGUUGGUGUGAUUCUACAAAGGAUCAUGCUUCCUCCUUCGUUUUCUACGAGGCCUUAAUUUCAUAUUAUGCAUGGACAAAUGGGAUAUUCUAUGCUGUUACCUUGGAAACAGGCAUGUGUUAAGUCCCUGUGUGGAGAAGAGGGAGAGAAUGAUCCUUUAUGUGCCUGGUAAUGGCAAAAAAGCAGCAUGACUCUAAUGUGCUCUAAUGUGUAAUUUCAGUUUCACUGCUGGAAAAUGGUUACUGUGACUACAGAGGGGUUUCUCACAGGCACAGCAAAUGGAUAUGAGCACAAAGCCUCAAACCAAUUGGGCUCUUCGAAUCAGUAAUAUGCUUCAUAUGAUUCAGAGGAACCAUCAUUCAUCAUACUUUUCUCCUUUUCGCUGAACGAGGUUGCUGGGGCUUCAGGAGUGACUGUGCCGGGGUGCGAUUGUGUAAGGUGGCUGAGACGAAGAAGUUUUUACAAAACUGAUGGAGCAAACUGUAUCACAUUAACAAGAUAGUUUGUUCUUGAACACCUUUUCUCAUUUCAGCGCUAUAGCAACUAAAACUAAUUCUGGUUUCUGGUUUUGAAACUAGGUCUGCCUCUCUGACAUUUGAUCACGAAGUGUCUUUUUUUUAAAGUUAAGAACCAUUGUUUUGUUGGUUUUUGGUGAAAUGUAUUGACAGCAACUGGAUGGAGUGUCAUGUGAUGAAAAUGGUGCAGAUAUCCAAACUACUAAUGUGAUUUUCAUCUCCGUCAAGUUCUAAAACAACUCCUCAAUGAACCUGCUCCACACUGGAACCACAUGAUGAAUCCACACUAAUGCUUGUAUUUAGCUCUGCUACAGCCUCCCGGAGCUUCUGGCAUGACUGCAGACUCUAGCUCUUCGUGGUAGCUCCUAUUGUUUUGAAGGUGCUGUAUGUACGUUUUCUCGGUGUGGUUUCAUAUUGAACCAGGUGGUGGAGAUGGUCAGGACUUGGUGAUGGUCAUCACUUGCCAAGAGCAUCAGCUAUCUUUGUGUUUACAAGACAAAGAGGUAAUACUAUGGCAUCUGAGCAGAAACCUCUGCAGGGCAGACUGGAUGCUACGGUGAUGCCAUCAGAAGGCGACGAGUUGAACCGGUUUUGUUUUGUUGUUUUUUUAAACUGGACAUGGAAUUGGGGCUGUGGUCUAACAGAGCUUGUCCACUGCACGCGCACCUACACCUGCAACCAUGCACCGAUUGAACGGACCAGCCGUCAAUCACGCAUAACCACGCUUCUCUAAAUGACACCAUCAUUUUCUAAAUGAACAUCAUGAUGUAUUGAGGAAUUCAACCAUAAACUCUUCAGGGAAAUGUUUACUGACGUUAUCACACUCUUCAAAAAUAGAUUUUUAGUCUUACAGAGGCUCCUGAUAGUAAAUAACAGAAAUCUUUGUAACAUUCCAAUCUUUUUCCUGCCUCCCUUUGUUGUCAUCAAUAACAGCAUCUUCAUCUUCAUCAUCAUUCAAAUCUCUUAGAAAUAUUCAAUCCCAAUGUUUAUCUCACAUUUCACUGAAAAACACACUCAACACCUGUUGUUAUAUUAAUAUAUGUUUUAUUCUUCUCCAUUUUUAUUAUCAUCAUGUUUCAUUUUCAUAUUUGUAAAUCUUAAGGUCAUUUGUGCACGGACCUAUCAUCACGGCACACACAUUGGCACAACAAGAUUGGUCAGAAAUAGAUAAACUCUAAUCACACUUUAAUAGCACACAAUUUUGCAAGGACUCGGGAAAGACAUACUAUAACAAUAACAAAUUUGAUCAUUUUUUCCCCCCUCUAUUGAAAUCUGAAUUUAUUGUAUGAUGUGCCAAAAUAAAA